CCCUUCUCUAGGCUGACUUUCCUCGUCCGGGUCGCAGUUUUGCCCCAGGCCUUGGCAUUUUACCUGAUUUCCUCAUUUACAGAGUCACAACUACGGCCUAGUUUACGUUCAUUUCACCUGGUGCCUCCCGUGUCAGGCGGCCUUUGGUGUCACCGGGCACCAGACCCAAAGGAGCAGGUCAGGAGUGGGCGGGGUCAAUGGCUCUCAGGACGCCACCAACUGGUGGGGAGGGCGGUGUCAGAAGGCGGGGCCACCCAAGGUGACAGAUACGGACGUGGACAUCCUGGGGAGCCGCCAUGUUGAGGACGCCGACUACGGGCAGCGGCGGUGCCCAAAUUUAACCGCGUUUCAGCAUCGCCUUCCUUCCGCUCCAGGUCUUGCAGCAGCGCCCCCUAGAGACCGGCUUGAGGCGAGCGAGCGUGGCGGCGAUGAGUCCUGGGGAGUAUACCUGAAAACGCGGAGGGAGUCGGUUCUCCCCUUGGUGUGGUCCUAAGAAAAGGAAGAAGAGAAGGAGUAUCAAGGGCGUUUUAACACUGACCUCUCCACAUCUUCUAUCUAAAAGCCAUUCUAAUCACUACAUAUUUUUUGCAUAAAGGUGGGGGCGGGGGGAGAAGACUGGAAGGAAAGUAUCACUUGGGAUUCUCUAGAGGGUAUAAUUAACAAUUUUUUAUAUUUCUUUAAACUUUCUUGUAUUUUUCAUAUGUUCUACGGUGAAUAUGAAUUGUGGAAUAAAUGCAAAAAUGAUAAAUGUUAUUAAUACUUUUAAUGUAUGGGAUUCAAGGCAGUUCUCUUGGAGCACCUCCUGUUGGUCCAAGGGUUCUAAAAUCACAACUGAUCAAGCCACCUCCCAGCUUACACCUCUUCUGUGGCUCCUGGCAGUUCCCUUUUGUGUACAGUUGGAUUUAUUAAAUCUACCUCGCUGGAGUAGUUUUGAUGGAAAUAAUUAAGAGCAGACUCUCAGAAAAUGGUGGCUCUUCGUUUUAUUUUUAUUAUUAAAUUGUCCAAGUUUCUUAGCUGGUCUUCAAGGCCAUCAGCCACCGCAUCUCAUCCCACUCCUGGAUUCCUCAGACUCUUUUUAGAUCUGUAGCUUUGGAAUGUGCUGUUCCCUCUUCUCAGAAUGCGUUUCCCCUUUUGCUCCCACCCUGCGUACUUUGGUUCACAUCAGCAAGCAUGAAUUAGGAAGACCUGAAUGCCUAGUUUAAUCCUCUCAACCACACUUGAAAUAGUUAUACCCCAGUUUUACAGAUUGGCAGAUGGACUAAGAGUAGGUCAAAAGUGAAACAAAACUGAACAUCCUGCCCCAAGGCUACCCAACUUGAGAGUGGCAGAGCCUUAACUGAGAGCCACAUCUUCCCUCAAAACUCAACACAUGGCUUGCCCAUCUGUGUUACUCCAGUGCUCCACGCACCUUCCCUUAAGGGAAGCUUGGGAGUCAACCCUGCUUGAAUCCUGCUGGACAACCCACUUCACAUCUCUGUGCCUCAGAAUCCUGAGGCUAACUGGUGAUAAUCACAGGGAUGGCUGGAGCAUUAAAUGAGGUAAUACAUGAAAAGCACCAAGCACCGUGUAGUAAAUGCAGCAGAUGUUUAAAAGCUCAACGUGCAUUAGCUGCUAUUACAUUGCUGACAUUUUUGGAGUACUUCCUAUGUGCCAGGCACUUUGUACAAAGUUCUUAAUGUGUUUCAUCUAACAAUUCUCACAACAACCCUACGAGGUAGAAUUGUCUGCAUUUUACACAUGAAGAAACAGGCACAGGAUGAUUUGCCCAGGGCAAAUGGAAGUGCUAGAUGAAAGGAUAUGUGCAUUUUAAAAUUUAGAUACAAACUACCAGAUUGCUCUUCAUAGAGGUUACAUCAGUUAUCCACAGCAAGGUGGUACAAAUGCCUGCGUUCCCAUGGCCUCACCAACAUGGUGUGUUAAACACUAGGAUUUUUCCCAGUUUGAUUAAAUGAAACUGCCAUAUUUUAAUGUGCAUUUCUCUUAUUAUGAAUGAGAUUGAGUGCUAUUUGUAGUUACUUUACUCAUUUCUCUAUUGGGUGGUUGGUUUUUCAUACUAGUUUCCAGGAGCUCUUAAUAUAUUAGGAGGAUUAGCCCUUAGAGAUGAGUUUUUUCAUAGUCUAUAGCAUUUUGACUUGGCUUACGAUGUUUUUGACUUUAAAAAGGUUUCAACUUUUUUUUGUUUGUUUCACAUAGAAUUUGUCGAUCUUCAUUUAUGACUCCUGAAUUUGGGAUCCAAGUUAGAACAUUCUCCCCACCCCCUCCCACAGAUUUUAAAGGAAUUGCCCACAUUUCCUGUUAUGUAUACAGUUUGAAAUAUGGUGUGAGAUACAGAGCCAACUUUUCUUUCUCCAGAGUUUCCCAGUUGUUCCAACGCUAUUUUCUGAAGAAUCCGUCUUUUUUUCUCCCUGGUUCUGGAUGGCACAUUUACCAUAAUAAAUUCUUAUGUUUGAAUCUG
Long non-coding RNA from Felis catus (domestic cat), 2455 nucleotides. RefSeq lists it as uncharacterized. The record is from RefSeq and is a predicted model, not a curated record. Lineage: Eukaryota; Metazoa; Chordata; Mammalia; Carnivora; Felidae. The transcript has 2 exons.